CUUGGUCAUUUAGUGGAAGUGGAGGAAGCCAUCCGGAAAGCCGCCGACGUGCGCGCAGACCUUGUGGCCGAUCUGCGCAACAUCGAGGCAAAGAUUGCGGCCAUCCGCGACACCAUUCUCAAAGAAGCGCGCAUCCUCGGCGUGACCUGCACCAAAGCCUACUUGGCUGUCCGAGAAAUCGGGCAGGUUGAUACCGUCAUCAUUGAAGAAGCCUCGAUGGUACUGUCGCCCGUGGCUUGGUUUGCUGCUGGACUCGCCAAAGAGCGUGUUAUCGUGUGUGGCGAUUUCCGCCAGAUCCCGCCCAUCGUUUCAAGCAACCAGCAGAGCAUUGUUGAUACUGUCGGUAUGGACGCGUUCACCGCCAACG
This 367-nucleotide unclassified non-coding RNA is filed under the name fungal sp. RNAcentral describes it as "partial internal transcribed spacer region". The record is from RNAcentral. Lineage: Eukaryota; Fungi.